GACGAACGCUGGCGGCGUGCUUAACACAUGCAAGUCGAACGGAAAGGCCCUGCUUUUGUGGGGUGCUCGAGUGGCGAACGGGUGAGUAACACGUGAGUAACCUGCCCUUGACUUUGGGAUAACUUCAGGAAACUGGGGCUAAUACCGGAUAGGAGCUCCUGUUGCCUGGGGGGGGUGGGAAAGUUUCGGCGGUUGGGGAUGGAGUGGCGGCUUCUUAGCUUGUUGGUGGGGGAGUGGUUUACCACGGCUUUGACGGGUAGCGGGCCUGAGAGGGUGACCGGCCACAUUGGGACUGAGAUACGGCCCAGACUCCUACGGGAGGCAGCAGUGGGGAAUAUUGCACAAUGGGCGGAAGCCUGAUGCAGCAACGCCGCGUGCGGGAUGACGGCCUUCGGGUUGUAAACCGCUUUCGCCUGUGACGAAGCGUGAGUGACGGUAAUGGGUAAAGAAGCACCGGCUAACUACGUG
This 468-nucleotide ribosomal RNA is filed under the name uncultured bacterium. RNAcentral's name for it is "partial 16S ribosomal RNA". It matches the Rfam family "Bacterial small subunit ribosomal RNA", at positions 28 to 507 of the family's 1533-position model. The record is from RNAcentral.